AUGUGGGGCUGCAUCAGUGCUAACGCUCUCCCUGUGUGCCAAGGAGAACCCACUCGUGUCCUUGGGACACCAAGGCUGCUCCCAGGUGGUGACAGCUUCCCUCCUCAGCCACAGGGCAGAAAUUCCUCUGUUUCAUCCAGUUCUGACAGGCCUUUGUUUUUCAGUAAGCAGGCCGUGCCUCACCGCUGCUUUAGGCCUCUGGGCAGGAGGAGGAUUACAUUAGCAAUCUUCUUUCCUGUUUGGAAAGCGAAACCUUAUAUUUUACUGUUGUUAUUAUUUUUAAUUUCUUUCACAGAUCUGCAAAGAGUUUUUAAACAGGAGCGUGUUCUGCACGAGGGAGUCCAACCCUCACUGCGGCACGGAUGGCGUGACGUACGGCAACAAGUGCGCCUUCUGCAAGGCCGUGCUGAGGAGUGGAGGGAAGAUACGGUUGAAGCACAUGGGGAAGUGCUGAGCCUGAGCACCAAGCACUGAUCCUCGUCGGUCACAGGCACAGGAGCCUGGGCACGGCAGCAGCUGUCCUUGUCUCUGCCAUCUCUGCUCAAUAAAAUAGAACUCAGCACAACUCUUUGGCUGGAU
RNAcentral lists this long non-coding RNA (579 nucleotides) under Numida meleagris (helmeted guineafowl). RNAcentral describes it as "lncRNA (ENSNMEG00000018025.1)". Lineage: Eukaryota; Metazoa; Chordata; Aves; Galliformes; Numididae. The record is from RNAcentral.